This is a non-coding RNA of Mycena albidolilacea, 81 nucleotides long. The record is from the annotation of a GenBank genome assembly. NCBI's taxonomy places the organism in Eukaryota, Fungi, Basidiomycota, Agaricomycetes, Agaricales, Mycenaceae.
GGUUGUGUAGUGUAGCGGUUAUCACUCCAGAUUCUGACCAGCCGAUUUCUGGCAACCCCGGUUCGAUUCCGGGCACGACCU